UCUGGAAAUUCCCCCCAAAAAUUCCCUUGGAAAAACCCCAGAAAAUCCCCCAAAAAUUCUUUGGGAAUUCCCCCAAAAAUGCCUUUGGAAAAUCCCUAAAAAAAAUUGGGGGGAAAAUGAGAAAAAAAAUUGUAAAAAAUGUAAAAAAUGGGACGGGGGAGGGAAAUGGGAAAAUUUGGGUGAAAAUGAGAAAAAAACGGGAAAAAUCUGGAAAAUCCCCGGGAGUCCCCUGGGAAUUCUGUGACAUUCCAGUGUCAUUAAUUUUCGUGUUGUCACAUUUGCACCGGAUUUUGCCUUAAUUCCCCGGAAAUCCGCCAAAUUCCGUGCCGUUAAUUAAUCCUGUGUCAUUCAUUAAUUUCGUGUUGUUAAUCCCAUGUCAUUAUUUAAUUCCGUCUCAUCAAGUCCGAGUCAUUAAUGCCAUGUCAGUAAUUAAUUCCGUGUCAUUAAUUAAUUCAGUGUAGUUUAUUAAUUCCACGUCAUUUAUUAAUUUCAUGUAAAUAAUUCCGUGUCAGUAAUGUCCUUUUAUUAAUUCUGUGUCAAUAAUAAAUUCCAUGUCAUUAAUCCCGUGCCA
Molecule: long non-coding RNA, 571 nt
Filed under: Junco hyemalis (dark-eyed junco)
Lineage: Eukaryota; Metazoa; Chordata; Aves; Passeriformes; Passerellidae
Description: lncRNA (ENSJHYG00000002105.1)
Source: RNAcentral